Rattus norvegicus (Norway rat) is the source of this 322-nucleotide long non-coding RNA. RefSeq lists it as uncharacterized. The record is from RefSeq and is a predicted model, not a curated record. Lineage: Eukaryota; Metazoa; Chordata; Mammalia; Rodentia; Muridae.
CAUGAGACUUAGCUGCAGUCCCGGGCGCCAUCUUGGGACCGCUGCCACAGCCGCUCCCCACACUAUCUGCAGGAGGAGCACUUACAGAAGAGUUAUUUGAACAACUGGCUUAGCACACACUUUCUUAAGAUCCCAGACUGUGAAUUCAGAACGUAAUGGCCCUGUUGCGACACCAGCAGUGAUAUUCAUUUGACAAAGGAGGUGGUGAAUGGAGUGGUGGCCAUGGUGUUUUCAUUCCUACCAGUAAUUGAUGCAAGUUCCCAUCCCUCUACAUCUUCAGCAGCAUUCCGUGCUCUCGGUGCCCCGGACUCUGGGCAUACCA